CUACUGAUAUUAGUGGUGUGAAUUUAAUAUCAUUUCAAUUGCUUGGGACUGAAAAUUAUGCUUUAUGGAGUAGAUCCAUAAAGCUAGUGUUAGGAUCGAGAAUCCCGAAUAGUGUGAAAUUAAACAAAGUAAUCAAUUAAAGACAAUAAAAAAAAUGAUAAUAAUGCUAAGCUGAGAAAAUAAAGGAGUCACAAAUUUAACGUGGUUCGGUCAACUUGACCUACUUCCACAACCAAAAGGAGGAGCAACUUUACUAAACACCAACGGAACAAAAGAGAGUACAAAAGCACAAAAAGAGUACAAAAUUAGAGUAAUUCAAUACUCUAAUAUCCCAAAUACCCCAGAGAGUAGCCUCACAAAUAUCACUCCAAAGAAGAGGUUCACUCAAAGUAUUUCCCAACACAACUCUCUCACAAAUACUCUCAACAAAGAAGAAAACAAACACAACUAAAUUUUCUCAAAUAUUGGUGUGUCUUCUCAAUUGGUGUGUCUCAAAGUGAAAGAACUCUCCCUUAUUUAUAGGAGGAGGUUCUUGAGAGAAAUUUUAAAAAAAAAAAACUCUAAAUAAUCUCAUGAUAAAUGAUAAUUAAAAAACUCUUGAGAGAUUUUCAAUGUAUCAUUUAUCAUGAGAUUUUCAAGAUAUUUUGAAUAAAAUAUUAGCUAAAAAUUAUGGCCACAUUACAAAUCUCCACCUUGACCUAAUUUUGGUUAAUAUAGUAAUAUGCUCCACCUUCUUCACAAAGCCCCAAGGGACUUUCAAAAUUCCAUGAUGUCAGAAUCAAAUGAGUUUCCAUCUGAAAUUUAAACAGUAGUAACAUUUGUAAUAGUAGAUCCCAACAGUGUAUACAACGUCCUAGACUUGCGUGCCUUCAUAACCACAAGACCACCUCGAGAGACUUUAAGGACUCCACCUUCACCUGUGUAUUUGCAUCCAAGAGAUUCUAGAAUACCCAAAGAGAUGAGAUUUUUUUUCAAUUCAGGAACACAUCUAACAUUUCUGAGAGUUCUUACAAUACCAUCGUGCAUUUUAAUUCGGACUGUACCUUUUCCAAUAAUUUUGCAAGCAACAUUGUUGUCUACCAAGACAACUCCACCUUCAACAGGAUCAUAUGUAGAAAACAAGCCCUUGUUAGGACACAUAUGAAAUGAACAAGCCGAAUCUAAAAUCCACUCAUUGUUAGAACAAGAAAUAUUUUCGGUUACUAAAGAUAUUGCUCCUUCAAUCUCAUCCGCAGCAACACUUGCUUCAGCGGUGUCAGAAUUCUCGUGCUCAUUUUUCUUUACUUUUCCCUUGUUUUGCAACUUAGGACAAUCAAACCUGAUGUGACCUUUUUUAUGACAAUAAUAACACACUGAAUUACUAAAUCUGGACUUUGCAUUAGAUCUACUCCUGAUAAAUAAAUCGGACGCCUGAUUUCCAAUACCUUCCUCGGUAAUAUCUCUAUCUAACUGAUCUUUAGAUUUCAACAUAGAUUUGAUUUUUCUAUAAGAGAUAUUUUCUUUUCCAAUAAAAUAUAGUAUCUCUAAAAUGCUUAAAGAAAUGGGGUAAGGAACAUAUUAGCAAAACAACUUGAUCUUCUUCCUCAAUCUUGACAUCUAUAUUACUUAAAUCCAUAAGAAUGGAAUCAAAGGUAUCAAGAUGCAAGAGUAUGGAAGUAUUUUCAUCCAUACAAAAUGUAUAAAGUUUUUUGCUUCAAGUAGAGUCUAUUCUCUACCGUUCUUGUCAUAUACAGGCUUUUCAACUUUUCCCACAUGCCUUUGACAGUGGUUUCCGAAGCUACUUCACGUAAUAGAUCAUCAGAGAGAUUUAGAAUAAUACUAGAUCUCGCCUUUUUAUCAAGGCUAUCAAACUCCCUCGUCUGUCAUUUUUCCUGAAAUUUUCUCCUUUCCUUACAGUGCCGUAUCUGAACUAUCCUGAACUAGGAUAGCUUCCAUUUUCAAAUGCCACAUAAAAAAGUUUGCACUUGGGUCAAAUUUCUCAACAUAAAUCUUUGUAAUCGUCAUGGUGACUACUAAGACAAAAACGGAAUUAACCUGCUCUGAUACCAAUUUGUUAGGAUGGAGAAUCCCGAAUAGUGCGAAAUUAAACAAAGUAAUCAAUUAAAGACAAUAAGAAAGACGAUAAUAAUGCUAAGCUGAGAAAAUAAAGGAGUCACAAAUUUAACGUGGUUCGGUCAACUUGACCUACUUCCACAACCAAAAGGAGGAGCA
Molecule: long non-coding RNA, 2211 nt
Filed under: Capsicum annuum
Lineage: Eukaryota; Viridiplantae; Streptophyta; Magnoliopsida; Solanales; Solanaceae
Description: long non-coding RNA (CANN_LNC000694)
Source: RNAcentral